UGAAUCGGAGCUGUAGCCACCGGCCUACACCAGAGCCACAGCAAUGCGGGAUCCGAGCCACAUCUGCAACCUACACCACAGCUCACGGCAACGCCGGAUCCUUAACCCACUGAGCAAGGGCAGGGACCGAACCCGCAACCUCAUGGUUCCUAGUUGGAUUCGUUAACCACUGCGCCACGACGCGACGGGAACAUUAUCAAUUUUUGAAUCUUACCAAAUUUUCAAUCCCACUCUUGGGCAUAUAUCCGUACAAAACUUUCCUUAAAAAAGACACAUGCACCCGCAUGUUCAUUGCAGCUCUAUUCACAAUAGCCAAGAGCUGGAAACAACCCAAAUGUCCAUCAACAGACAAUUGGAUUAGGAAGAUGUGGUAUAUAUACACAAUGGAAUACUACCCAGCCAUAAAAAAGAACAACAUAAUGCCAUUUGCAGCAGCAUGGAUGGAACUAGAGACUCUCAUACUGAAAUAAGUCAGAAAGAGAAGGAUAAAUACCAUAUGAUAUCACUUAUAACUGGAAUCUAAUAUACAGCACAAAUGAACAUUUCCACAGAAAAGAAAGUCAUAGACUUGUGGCUGCCUGGGGGGAGAGGGAGGGAGUGGGAGGGAUGGGGAGCUUGGGGUUAAUGGAUACAAACUACUGCUCUUGGAAUGGAUUUAUAAUGAGAUCCUGCUGUGUAGUGUGUAGCAUUGAGAACCAUGUCUAGAUACUUACAUAGCAAUACAACAAUGGGAGGAAAAGGUAUAUAUACAUGUAUGUGUAAUUUGGUCCCCAUGCUGUACAGCAGAAAAAAAUUAAAUUAAUUAAUUAAUUUUAAAAAUUUUGUGGAAUCUGAUGGAUGCCGCCUCAAAAGUUAAUGCUGGUUUUUAUUCUCUGAUUAUUGGAUAGGUUAGUGACUUUUUUCCCAUGUUUGGUAAUUAUUUGCAUUUUUCUUCUGUUAAUUUUCUUAGUAUUUGUUAAGUUUAUUACUGGAGAGGUCUUUUACAUAAAAGCUACUCACAUAUUUUAGAUAGUAAUCCUCCAACUGUUAAAUGUGUUUAAAAUGUUUUAUAUUAAUCACUGCUCAUAUUUGCAUUACUUUUUGUAUUACAGAUUUUUUAUUUUUAUGAGGUUAAAUUUGAUCUUUAUUAUUAUAAUAUUUAUGCUUUAAACUUAAGUCAGAAGAAAAAGCACUGUAAGACUGGCUUUGUCCUUAACUGUUUCACCACUAUCUUUACACUGGCAUACUAACUCCUUUAGACAACUAUUAAUCUGCUUUAAAAUAACUUGUUUAUUUUUAAAUAAAAUGAAAAAAAAACCUUAUAAUUUAGUACCAUUUUAGAUUACAAAGUCAAGUCUCAGGCAAAGCAGUACUGUCUUGCAUCACUUUGUGAAGUGACAAUUCUUAUGUACCAGUUACUUUCUAAUAGGAUGAGACGAUUAGUGUGACUUGGUACUUCACUGUCAGCUUGACUUCUCUGAGCCAUACAAAACCACCGAUAAUAAUAUUUAAUGUGUAGUGUGAGUAAACUGGCAAUCUCUGAGAUUAAAUUAUUUUAGAGCAUAGCUCCAUAAUCAAAUAGCAUUUAUUGUUUAAAUUACAAAUCUUUUGCUGGCUAGAAAACUUCAUGAAUAACAAAGACCAAGUCUACUUUUAUCUGUGGAAAAUUCAUUUAGCAUUUAUUCUAAAAAUUUAUACUAUUCUUAAUCAAUUCCUUAUUUAUUAAAUAUGUCUUUAUACUUAUAAAUUAUUUCUAUAAAUGUUCUUUGGGAUUGCUCUUGUUUAGUUAAAUAAUGCUACUAAUUGCUGUUCCCUGAAGUCUCUUUAUCCCCACCUCUAUUUGUUUGCUCACAGGAUUCUCAAACUCCCUCCACCAAGAUUCACCUUUCCUCCUAGGCUCAUUUUGAAAGCACUUAUUAAUAAGCAUUCCAUGAUUCUCCUAACUGUAUAUGAUUUUUCCUUUGUAGAAAUCCUCACUGCAGAACAGUGUGGAUGUACUUAAUGACAAUGAACUGUACAUUUAAAAAUGGUUAAAAUUGUAACUUUUGACCACAAUUUUUAGAAGUUGCCAAAAAAAGUAUCUUCAUGGCACUGUGUCCUAGAGUACCAUGUUCAGUUUUGCACUAGUUAUUUGCAUACCUCUUUAUUUCCCUAUUUCUAUUGAAAAUUCCCUCAGGAAAGAGAUCAUAUAAGCCCCACUGCCAUUCAAACGGGUUUAAUUUAAUCAGAAAACUCAGAAUAACUCACUCUCUUUGAAAUAUAACAGGUAAUUCUAUAUUUGACUCACUCAAACUCUGAUGUGGUAAGAAAUAUGGAGGUAACCACUUAAUGCCUGUUUUUAUUUACAGCUUUAGUAGGUGAAAAACAACCUAUUUGUGUUACUUUUACAUACUAAAUUAGUGCUAAACUCUAUUCUCAAAGAAGAGCUUUGUUUCAGUGAAAUGUUAGGCAGAUGAAACAGAUUAUAACUAUAGGAAGGGAUCACAUCAUUCGUCAAAAUAUUCACUAACUAGCAGAGUAUGAAAGGUAUAUGAACAGAAAUGCUUUGAUUGUUAAGUUUGCAAAGAUGGAGCCUCCUCCUCCUCCCACCCCAUGAUUAAAAAUGGUUCACAUACAACAUUGAAAGAAUUCCAUGUUGGGAGUUGUUCCCAUUGUGGCUCAGUGGGUUGCAAACCCGAUUAGUACCCAGGAGGACUCAGGUCCAAUUUCUGGCCUUGCUCAGUGGUGUUGCUGUGAGCUGUGGUGUAGGUCACAGAUGUGGCUCAGAACCCAAAUGGCUAUGGCUGUAGCAUAGGCCAGCAACUGCAGCUCUGAUUCAACCCCUAUCCUGGGAAUUUCCAUAUGCCACAGGUGUGGCCCUAAAAAAAGAAAAAAAAAGAAUUCCAUUUCAAAAGACAUGAGACUAACAUAUUCAAUCCAUACUCAAGUAUAUUUAAGAUAAAGAUUUUGACAAAUAAUUGACAGCCAGAAGAAAAAUUAACAAAUCCUAUGGUGUCAAGUAACCACUUAUUUCAGAAGUUCUGCCAAUCAGGAGUUCCCACCAUGGUGCAGUGGGUUAAGAACAUAACUGCAGUGACUCAGGUAGCUGUAAAGGCAUGGAUUCAAUCCCUGGUCCAGUGCAGUGGGUUAAAGGAUUGGAUGUCACCACAGCUGCAGCACAGGUCACAGCUGCUGCCUGGGAUUCAAUCCCUAGCCCAAGAACUUGCAUGUGUCGCAGGUGCAGCCAUUAAAAGAAAAAGUUCUGCCAAUCAGUGUCUCUCGACUUAGGAAUGGAUGAUUUUGCUGCUGAUGCCCACAACGGCUGCACUGAAACAGUUGCAAAGCAUAGUAAAGAGUAUAGGUUUUACAAUUGGAAUAGUUCUGCCACUUAGUACCUAUGUGACCUUGAGCAAGUAGUUUCCUCAAUUGUAAAAAAAGGACUUGGAUUGGUCUGAAGAUUCAAUGUAAAGCACCUAAUGACAUUUCCUGCAGAGGUUUUACAUACUCCAUUAUUUCUAUUGCCUGUUAAACGUACUUUGUAAGCAUAUUACAGUGAUUAAUUUGACAAGAUUUACAAAGCUCCUAUCAUGUGGCCACUGGCUAGGUCCCAAAAGCAUAAAGACAAGAUCCAGGACACUAGCUCUGGAUCUCUGGCCACUGAAGACCUCACAACCUAGUAACAGAAAUAGAAAAACAUAUAUAAUUGCAACAUGAUAUGGUGAAUUAUAAUAGAGACAGAUAAAGUGCUAUGGAAUCAAAAAAGUAAAAAAGUUAAGUAUGUUAUGCUUCUACGCUGUCAAACCCAAUUCGUCUCUCAACAGUUUUCUGCGUUAUCACAGGCCACCUUUUAAUGAUUACCAUUUGCAACCUACCCCGACUGAUGCAACCUUAACAGGUAGAAGCCCUGCAUAGUAUUACCUAUUACUUGAAGUCCACUGCCUCCAAUGCCCCUACUAAGCUGAAGGACAACUAUGGCUUGUUUCCUCAUCUAUAAAAUGGACCCAUUUUCCUCACUGGGUUAAGUAUAAGAGUUCAUUAGGCACAUACAUAAUGGCACCAACUCAACACUUUUUGGGUUUUUCUCUGAUUCCAUUAUCUCUGGGCUUUAAGUUACCUCUGGUUGCAGUGGAUGAUCAUGUUGCUUUAAAGAGAGGGUGCAAAGUAAUCAACAGAACAAGGGUAGCAGUAAGAGGGUAGAAAUGGGAGAAGGGAUCCAGGGUUAAGAGAGGAAGAGAGAAUAAUGAAACAAAUCAAUAUGUUUACUAGCUUUCUGACCUAUCCUCACUCCCCUAACUUCUCUGUUCCCUAAAAUGACUACAGCAAGUUUAUCUUUCAGGACAACUCAUAUAUAUGAUAGGGUUUCAGAGGCAAGGGUAAUUCUCCCAGUGAUUUAAAAAACAAUAAUAAUAAUGCAAAUUUGUCCUACCAUCUUCUCAGUGCUUUUGACAAGCUCACCCUUGACUUCCAUUCCCAAAUUCUGGUUUAAAUCCAAAUUCUCUUGUAACUCCUCAAUCCACUUAGCCUCUACACUACCCUCCAGCCUGUGCUCCUAACUCUCCAGUACUGAAUUUAUCAUCAUUAAGUAGACACUUAAGUGUCCCUAAUGUUCUGCAGUUUUCUGUUUUCUGUUAUUCUCAGGAUAUGUUCUUUAUUUCAGAAACCUUAUCUUCUUCAAUGAGUUUGACAAUUCCCC
Molecule: long non-coding RNA, 4651 nt
Filed under: Sus scrofa (pig)
Lineage: Eukaryota; Metazoa; Chordata; Mammalia; Artiodactyla; Suidae
Description: lncRNA (ENSSSCG00005038425.1)
Source: RNAcentral